Molecule: ribosomal RNA, 443 nt
Filed under: uncultured bacterium
Lineage: Bacteria
Description: SSU rRNA
Rfam family: Bacterial small subunit ribosomal RNA
Source: RNAcentral
AGAACGAACGCUGGCGGCAGGCCUAACACAUGCAAGUCGAACGCUCUCGCAAGAGAGAGUGGCGCACGGGUGCGUAACGCGUGGGAAUGUACCUCUAGGUACGGAACAACCCAGGGAAACUUGGGCUAAUACCGUAUAAUAUCUUCGGAUCAAAGAUUUAUCGCCUAGAGAUCAGCCCGCGUAGGAUUAGCUAGUUGGUGAGGUAAUGGCUCACCAAGGCUACGAUCCUUAGCUGGUCUGAGAGGAUGAUCAGCCACACUGGAACUGAGACACGGUCCAGACUCCUACGGGAGGCAGCAGUGAGGAAUAUUGGACAAUGGGGGCAACCCUGAUCCAGCCAUGCCGCGUGAGUGAUGAAGGCCUUCGGUUGUAAAACUCUUUAGGUGUGACGAUGAUGACGGUAACACCAGAAAAGCUCCGGCUAACUUCGUGCCAGCAGCCGC